This 497-nucleotide ribosomal RNA is filed under the name uncultured bacterium. RNAcentral's name for it is "partial 16S ribosomal RNA". It matches the Rfam family "Bacterial small subunit ribosomal RNA", at positions 28 to 507 of the family's 1533-position model. The record is from RNAcentral.
GACGAACGCUGGCGGCGUGCCUAAUACAUGCAAGUAGAACGCUGAAGAGAGGAGCUUGCUCUUCUUGGAUGAGUUGCGAACGGGUGAGUAACGCGUAGGUAACCUGCCUUGUAGCGGGGGAUAACUAUUGGAAACGAUAGCUAAUACCGCAUAACAAUGGAUGACACAUGUCAUUUAUUUGAAAGGGGCAAUUGCUCCACUACAAGAUGGACCUGCGUUGUAUUAGCUAGUAGGUGAGGUAAUGGCUCACCUAGGCGACGAUACAUAGCCCACCUGAGAGGGUGAUCGGCCACACUGGGACUGAGACACGGCCCAGACGCCUACGGGAGGCAGCAGUAGGGAAUCUUCGGCAAUGGGGGCAACCCUGACCGAGCAACGCCGCGUGAGUGAAGAAGGUUUUCGGAUCGUAAAGCUCUGUUGUAAGUCAAGAACGGGUGUGAGAGUGGAAAGUUCACACUGUGACGGUAGCUUACCAGAAAGGGACGGCUAACUACGUG